UUGAAUUUAGAAUCUGUGAAGCAAAAAGUGCUAUUGUGAAGUCUUGGUGGAAACACUGUUAAUCCUGUGAUGGGACCUGCCCAACCAGCUAAGCCACUCACCAAUGCCCAGAAGUCCAUGUGUGUCCUUACUUGAGACCACGUAAGAGAUUCACGGCCAAGUGAGCAGCUCAAAGCCCUUAGGAAAUGAAAACACGUGGAUGACUGCCCUGUGAUAUUUUGAUGAUCCUUAUAGUCAGAAGGAUGAAGCAAAUGAUGUCUCCAGAUAAAAUCAAUUUACCCCUAAGAUAUUCAGAAAAAAAUAGGAUUCCAAAGUCAAGAAAUCCAGAGCUACGAAUGGAAAUACUACACAUUUUUCUUUUUAAUUGGUGGUGGUGAGAUGGAGAGACCUCGUGUUAUGUAUGUGAAAUUAAUGAGUGGAAAGUAUGGUGAAGAGAGGGCACACAAAUGGACCAAGCAGUGCUGGAAAACUCAAACUUGGUGUCAGAAACAUACACUGAAAAUUUGACAGCAUAAGAUGUGCAAAAUUUUUGGCCCUUCUAUCAAUGCCAGAAAAGAUUUUAUUUUGAAAGUGUUCCCAGGAUGAACAUUUUAUAUAACACAUGACGCAUGCAGAGAACGCAGACGUUGGAUUAAAGAGUCAUAAGUUCAAACACCACAGCUCCAGACUUACUAGCCAUGUUCCCUUAAAUCCGUUUUCAACUUCUUUCAUUGUCACCUGUAAAAUGCUUUG
Molecule: long non-coding RNA, 732 nt
Filed under: Equus caballus (horse)
Lineage: Eukaryota; Metazoa; Chordata; Mammalia; Perissodactyla; Equidae
Description: lncRNA (ENSECAG00000052461.1)
Source: RNAcentral